GGCCGCGGUAUCAUAACCGUGCGAAGGUAGCAUAAUAAAUUGUUCUCUAAAUAGGGACUAGUAUGAAAGGCACCACGAGGGCUUAACUGUCUCCCUUUUCCAAUUAAUGAAACUGAUCUUCUCGUGAAGAAGCGAGAAUAAAAAUAUAAGACGAGAAGACCCCAUGGAGCUUUAAACUCAUCAUCAUUUACUUUUUUCACAUCAUCACAUAUAGUAAAAAUGUUAACUGAUAGUUUUCGGCUGGGGUGACCCUGGAGAAAAACAAAUCCUCCAGGAUGAACGGAAUAAUAAUCCUAAUCAAAGAGUCACAACUCUAAGAAUCAAAACAUUGACAUCAUUUGAUCCAAUUACUUGAUCAACGAACCAAGUUACCCUGGGGAUAACAGCGCAAUCCAUUUCAAGAGCCCUUAUCGACAAAUGGGUUUACGACCUCGAUGUUGGAUCGGGGUAUCCCAGUGGCGCAGCCGCUACUAAAGGUUCGUUUGUUCAACGAUUAACAAC
RNAcentral lists this ribosomal RNA (501 nucleotides) under Heterixalus madagascariensis (Madagascar reed frog). RNAcentral's name for it is "partial 16S ribosomal RNA". It matches the Rfam family "Bacterial large subunit ribosomal RNA", at positions 1929 to 2594 of the family's 2925-position model. The record is from RNAcentral. Lineage: Eukaryota; Metazoa; Chordata; Amphibia; Anura; Hyperoliidae.